UCCGUAGGUGAACCUGCGGAAGGAUCAUUACCAAAUUUUAGCGGGUCCUCUUUGAAAUAAGAAUGGGAUGUCUGAACCCUUGAAUACAUAACCUCGUUGCUUUGGCGGGCCGCCUCCGGGCGUCGGCCUCGGCUGACUGUGCCCGCCAGAGGACCACAACUCUUUGUUAAGUGAUGUCUGAGUACUAUAUAAUAGUUAAAACUUUCAACAACGGAUCUCUUGGUUCUGGCAUCGAUGAAGAACGCAGCGAAAUGCGAUAAGUAAUGUGAAUUGCAGAAUUCAGUGAAUCAUCGAAUCUUUGAACGCACAUUGCGCCCCUUGGUAUUCCGAGGGGCAUGCCUGUUCGAGCGUCAUAUAAACACAUCCCGCAAGGGGUCUUGGAGCCCGCCUCUCGGCGGCUCUUAAAAUCAGUGGCGGCGCCAUCUGGCUCUAAGCGUAGUAAUUAUCCUCGCUAUAGGGUCCAAGUGGAUGCUUGCCAGCAACCCCCAAUUUCUACGUUUGACCUCGGAUCAGGUAGGGAUACCCGCUGAACUUAAGCAUAUCAAUAAGCGGAGGA
Molecule: ribosomal RNA, 556 nt
Filed under: uncultured fungus
Lineage: Eukaryota; Fungi
Description: eukaryotic LSU rRNA
Rfam family: 5.8S ribosomal RNA (bases 200-353)
Source: RNAcentral